Long non-coding RNA from Gossypium arboreum, 503 nucleotides. RefSeq lists it as uncharacterized. The record is from RefSeq and is a predicted model, not a curated record. Lineage: Eukaryota; Viridiplantae; Streptophyta; Magnoliopsida; Malvales; Malvaceae. The transcript has 2 exons.
AUGACCAUUGUGUAUUCAAGCUAAAGAGUGGCCAUAUGACCAUUUAAACUCCUUGUCAUAUUCGGCCAUAAGCAAGCACAAUGAGGUUUUAAUAAAUUGAAUUUGUUUGAAUUAGCUCAAGAGCUAAGAGGGCCACAAUUGGACAAGGGGAAGGAAAAGGUGAUCGAAUAGCCGAAAAAGCCGUUCGACAACAUCCGAGUUUUCUAGAUUUCGCUCGAAGCAAUCGGAUUUGGGAUCGUUGAAGUCGAAGUCAUCCACACUAUCAAGCCCCCAUUUUGGUAUAAAUUCUUGGUUGAACUUGAAAUGGCAUGUAUAGGACCACCCCUUGUUGGUUAAAUAUGUUGUGAUGUAUAUAUGUACGGCCAUGCGAAAAUGGCUCGUAAAAGUGAAGUAUCGACUUAGACUAAUUGUGGUUUGUAUGUAUAUAUAUUUGGUGUCAUGAUGUGGCUAUGGCUUGGAAAUGGGAAUGUUGGUCACAUGAUCAGCCAUUGGCAUGGUUAAAA